RNAcentral lists this long non-coding RNA (3781 nucleotides) under Orbicella faveolata. Its description in RNAcentral is "uncharacterized LOC110044045, transcript variant X2". The record is from RNAcentral. Lineage: Eukaryota; Metazoa; Cnidaria; Anthozoa; Scleractinia; Merulinidae.
UUUCCUGAUGCCAGGUCAGUUGCAGGUUUUUCUCCUUCCUGCCAAUUUCAAGUCGGACAGAAUGACUUCACAUAAACACAGCCUGGCUGCCAAGACAGUUUCAAAAUGGCUGCUUCCGAAGUUGCGUCUUUCGAGACAAAUUUCAUCAGCAUAGCGGGCACUUCAGAGGCUGAAACUUCGGUGAGGGAAAAGCUGAAUGUUUAUGUGCUAUUGGCGAGUACAAAAAAAGUAAGCUUUUUGGAGUGACCUCCUUUAAGUUAAUUCUACAAGGAACUGAAGUAAUCGAGUGAAUCAAUGUAUCAUUUCAGCAGCGUUUCACUUGGCUUUUAAUAUUCAUCUUUUCUUCCUGAAGUUUCAUAUUUAGUCCCUCAAACAAUGAUUGCAUGCUAUGCUGUAUGUUCCUCAUUGCAUAAAUGUUUUUGAUGUCUUGUUUUGAGUAUUCUUGCAGAGUUUCUCUCUAAUGUGUAAAACACAGGCCAUGCAACUGUGAAUGUUACAGUGUGUUGAAUUUUGCAAGAAUUGAGCAUCGAGAAUGGAGUCGCACUUCAAGGAAAUUGAGACUCAACUCAAUACUUGAUUCUCAGAAGUAUUGAGUAUCAAGUGUUGACUUAGAUUUGCCUGGUACUGAAUCAUGAUACGUUUUUGACCUGAGAUCCCCUAAUCUGGAACACUGCAUGGCCAGUAAUGAAAACUGAAGUCUGCCAGAUGUAGUUCUGUUGUUCUGCUUCAAAACAAACAACUCUCAACUACGAGUUCAUUUGCUGUAUUAUGAAUAUUUUCCCUUUUUAGGAGGAGUGUUUGGUUUGUAUGGUGGAAGAAUGGAUCCAUUAGUUAGAGGCUGUGUAAUGGGUACAAAUGAAGUUCAUUACUGGGGAGACUUAAAUGAUCCUGUGCCGUGCUGAAUUUCAGAAGUGUUCAAUGUCUUAAUUCUCCUGCUUACAUCAUUGUCAUUGUCAAGUAGAUCACGUCAUCACCUGGAUGACACUGUCUUCAUGUACAAUACAAUCCAAGACAUUUUAAGAAAUAAAUGUUAUGGCAAUGUACAUCACUAAUAAAAAUUUGAUGAUUUGUUUGAUUUGAUAAAGUAUUUUGUGUAUUGUGCACAACUGUCUGUGGUGACCAAUUAAAGGUCAGAAUGUGCAGUUCCAGAAAAUAUCCAUACCCACUCCAUGAAAGGUCACUUGCAAUUGGUAGGGGGGUGGGGGAUUGCAAACAUCAAUAUUUUUAAAGGAAAGGAAGAAGCUAUAAAACUGGAAUUUCCACCAGGGUGGUAGUCUCCUUGGCAGCCGUUUUUGGGAUGUCACGCAUGCAGACAUCCCGAAAAAACAACUGCGGAGGAGACUAUCAGGGUGGGACUGGGGCCUAGGGGGAGGGUGCCAAGUCUUCACAGCGCACAUUUUGUCUUUCCAUGUUGGGGGUGGGAUCCAGGGAGGGGUGGGGUGAGUUGUUGUGGAGGUACUGUAAACAACAUAAUCAACAACUGUCUGUUUUAUUUCAGAUAUCACGUAUAUUUCCUGAUAAUUUUUCCUAAUCAUGGAUAUUGCUAAUCUAUGGUCUGUGAAGGUCGUGAGUGUGACAUUUUGCACGAAACAUGUCACGCUACAGUUAAACAAUUGAAGUUUGCUCGCCUUCCAAUGACAGCAUCGGUCUCCCUCCUUUCAAUGGGCUAUGAACAGGCUCGAAGGUUCUUAGGUGUUACGCCGUGGCCAGGGUAUAGGAGAAAGGCGCGAGCGAAAUGCGGCAAGCGAAAAGAGCUCAUAGCUACAAUUGUAGCAAUAAUCCUUAUCAAUCUUCGACCGACGGCUUCCGUCACAGACUCUACCUACCGCGGGUUACUAGCAAGUAAAUUUACAUCUGUAAUUAACGUAGGUUCAACCUGAGAGCAUUGCGCACAUGCAACGAAGGCUUUUUUCCUGAAAUGUAUGACGCGAGUUCACCUCAAUCCACUUGGUAUGAAUCAAGUUUGUUGAUAGUCUCCUUCGCAGCCGUUAUUAGGGUCGUCACGCAACGCUCCUCNCCCACUAACGGCCGUUAGUGGGGAGGAGCGUUGCGUGACGACCCUAAUAACGGCUGCGAAGGAGACUAGUUUGUUGAAAGAUUACGCCCCAUUACGCCAGACAAAUCUAUUGUUGAUUUGAAUUCCAGUGGUUUUGAUCUCGUGAUAAUACAAUUGUCUCGUUGUAUUCCAGUUUCCGCAUGGGUGCUGUCGAUCUCGUGAUCAAUCGAUUUCGAUCUCAUGAUCAAUCGUCGCAAAUACCCUCGGUACGGGGAGCGGCUGUCAGUGUACUAUUGUAGCAAUGCUAAAAGGGAUUCCUGAAGGUUCCUAACUGCUUACGAGCUGGAAAAGUUAUGAAGAAUCAUUCUUGCUACUGACAACCCGGACACAUCGCUUUUUGAGGAUCACAGCUGUAUCUUUUUGGCGUCUGUGAUCGAAAGGAAUCAUUUUCAACUGAGGGGAAGUUUUCCGUUCAGCUGAAAGAAACACAUCGCCUCUUGAGAAUCUCAGCUGUAUCUUUUUGUUGACUGCGAUCGAGGGGAAACAUUUUCAACUGAAGGAAAGUUUUCCGUUUCAGCUGAAAGAAACACAUCGCGUUUUGAGGAUCACAGCUGUAUCUUCUUGCUGACUGCGAUCGAGGGGAAACAUUUUCAACUGAAGGAAAGUUUUCCGUUCAGCAAAAAGGUAAGCAAGAGGAACGCUUGUAAAACGAAAUUCUGAAACGUUAGCACAUUUAUUGGCAUCGCUAACUAAAAUAAGGGAAAGGUUAUUAGUUACCGGAAUUAUUGUUGGUAAAUUAAUUUCAUUUUGACUCAACAGUCAUCUAUUAACAACAUCGACACGAGCUAGACGGGGACAAAAAUCUUAAAGCGGAGAGACACGGUAACAGCGGUAGAAACGGUAGAAAUUAUUGGAAUACUAUUUAAACAAAGCGGAAAUUCUACUAAACUGUUUGUCGAAGGAUCCAUGGACCUGUUGAUUUGGUUUGUAAAGGUUCCUUUAGGUUUGGGGAGAGGGAAAUCCAAAUCCGGAUCUUAGAAUCCUGAAAGAAAUUUUGCUUUUGCUCUCUAGAAUCCAUGAAUGGAUUAUGAAUCAAAAGAAUCCACACUGCAAGUGGAUCUAUGUUCACGACUUACGAAAACGUAUAAGCUUAAUGGUUCCCGAUAAGUCAUUGUUGUGAAGGUUCACGUUCACAUUGCUUCAGGAUACUAUUGUGUGUUAUGAUGUGGUAGUUUGCAUUUUCUUUUUAUCCUUUCUUGACACCGCGACACCGCAAAAAUAAUUCGGCAAGUAGCGCAAUAUCCCAAAAAAAUCGCCAAAUACCGCAAUACUUCAAUACCCAGUAGAAACUCGGUCUCCUACCUAAACCACUACUUUGUAUGUUAAGUUUAGAGCAAAUAUAGCAAUUAAGAAUUGGAGUUUUCUGUUACACGAGAGCUAAGUUUCAUUGGGAAUCUCCAAUCGGAAACUGCGAAAGGCUCUGAAAACGCUAUAGGACUUGAAAGAUAAUUUUUAAUACCGUCCAUAAUGCGAUAGAAAACGUAUCCCGCAGGUUCGGAGAAUACCGCAAUAAAUUUACCGCAUUUCAAGAUUAAAAUUACCGAAAUACUGCAAGAUAAAAUGUCCACCACCGCAACCUUUUAUGGUCAAAUGAAGCAUAUAUAGUCGGGUAAUAAAUCUGAUUAUCCUGUCUCAAGUGCAAAUGUUCUAAAAUAAGUUUGUUAACCGCGCGGCCAUGGGCCGAGCGCGGUUCAUGUUCUACCCUUGGUUUAUUAUUUUUUUAAA